AACAAGGCGUACCUGCGGACCUGCGGAAGGAUCAUUAACAAUUGUCCAUUUUCCUUUACAAAUAUGGAUGGUUCAAAUCCAUAUCCACCUUCUUGUGCACCUCAUUGACACGUUUGCUUUGGCAGUCUGCGGGAGAGGAGAGAGAUCCUUCGAUCGUUUCUCCGUGGAUGGGAAAAAGCGAUGGAAAGUUAUUCUUUUCUCACUUUUUUUUGUUCCCCUCCGGCGCUGCCAGAGUUUUUU
This 240-nucleotide unclassified non-coding RNA is filed under the name soil metagenome. RNAcentral describes it as "partial contains 5.8S ribosomal RNA, internal transcribed spacer 2, and large subunit ribosomal RNA". The record is from RNAcentral.